This 1343-nucleotide ribosomal RNA is filed under the name uncultured bacterium. RNAcentral's name for it is "16S ribosomal RNA". It matches the Rfam family "Bacterial small subunit ribosomal RNA", at positions 28 to 1378 of the family's 1533-position model. The record is from RNAcentral.
GACGAACGCUGGCGGCGUGCUUAACACAUGCAAGUCGAACGGAAAGGCCCUGCUUUUGUGGGGUGCUCGAGUGGCGAACGAGUGAGUAACACGUGAGUAACCUGCCCUUGACUUUGGGAUAACUUCAGGAAACUGGGGCUAAUACCGGAUAGGAGCUCCUGCUGCAUGGUGGGGGUUGGAAAGUUUCGGCGGUUGGGGAUGGACUCGCGGCUUAUCAGCUUGUUGGUGGGGUAGUGGCUUACCAAGGCUUUGACGGGUAGCCGGCCUGAGAGGGUGACCGGCCACAUUGGGACUGAGAUACGGCCCAGACUCCUACGGGAGGCAGCAGUGGGGAAUAUUGCACAAUGGGCGGAAGCCUGAUGCAGCAACGCCGCGUGCGGGAUGACGGCCUUCGGGUUGUAAACCGCUUUCGCCUGUGACGAAGCGUGAGUGACGGUAAUGGGUAAAGAAGCACCGGCUAACUACGUGCCAGCAGCCGCGGUGAUACGUAGGGUGCGAGCGUUGUCCGGAUUUAUUGGGCGUAAAGGGCUCGUAGGUGGUUGAUCGCGUCGGAAGUGUAAUCUUGGGGCUUAACCCUGAGCGUGCUUUCGAUACGGGUUGACUUGAGGAAGGUAGGGGAGAAUGGAAUUCCUGGUGGAGCGGUGGAAUGCGCAGAUAUCAGGAGGAACACCAGUGGCGAAGGCGGUUCUCUGGGCCUUUCCUGACGCUGAGGAGCGAAAGCGUGGGGAGCGAACAGGCUUAGAUACCCUGGUAGUCCACGCUGUAAACGGUGGGUACUAGGUGUGGGGUCCAUUCCACGGGUUCCGUGCCGUAGCUAACGCUUUAAGUACCCCGCCUGGGGAGUACGGCCGCAAGGCUAAAACUCAAAGGAAUUGACGGGGCCCCGCACAAGCGGCGGAGCAUGCGGAUUAAUUCGAUGCAACGCGUAGAACCUUACCUGGGUUUGACAUGGAUCGGGAGUGCUCAGAGAUGGGUGUGCCUCUUUUGGGGUCGGUUCACAGGUGGUGCAUGGCUGUCGUCAGCUCGUGUCGUGAGAUGUUGGGUUAAGUCCCGCAACGAGCGCAACCCUUGUUCACUGUUGCCAGCACGUUAUGGUGGGGACUCAGUGGAGACCGCCGGGGUCAACUCGGAGGAAGGUGGGGAUGACGUCAAGUCAUCAUGCCCCUUAUGUCCAGGGCUUCACGCAUGCUACAAUGGCUGGUACAGAGAGUGGCGAGCCUGUGAGGGUGAGCGAAUCUCGGAAAGCCGGUCUCAGUUCGGAUUGGGGUCUGCAACUCGACCUCAUGAAGUCGGAGUCGCUAGUAAUCGCAGAUCAGCAACGCUGCGGUGAAUACGUUCCCGGG